GGCGAUACCCGAAAAGGAGGAUUGAGUUAACGAGGUUUUUCACCUCCCCGUCUCCUAAGCGACUACCCUGCUCAGCCCAACUAUUAUCUGCAACUUGCCUACAACAGAUGAGAGGAGCUUUCCGCCUAGCGAGGACUGUCACUCUCACACUAGGUGUCUACACAACUGCGACAAGGAGUCCACACUGGCAAGAAGUAGUCUAGACACCACGUCUAAACUAGCUCUUGCUACCCUAAGCUUAGCUAAAGCUAAGAGCACUCAAGAUCAAGCAAUGUGCCAGUAA
Molecule: long non-coding RNA, 283 nt
Filed under: Sorghum bicolor (sorghum)
Lineage: Eukaryota; Viridiplantae; Streptophyta; Magnoliopsida; Poales; Poaceae
Description: long non-coding RNA (SBIC_LNC006917)
Source: RNAcentral